GAGGUAAUACUGUAUUAAUUGUGUAAAAUAUGUUAUUCUCCACAAGAUUCGAUUUGAAAAAGUUACGUUUCACAAAAUAAUGUUUUUACUUCAUAUAGGCAUAUUUAAUCAUCAGUACUAGAUGCCGCGUUCUUCUACGAGUCGAAACUCGGAAAUGUCAAACUUACUAACUGGUUGAACGCGGCACGUGUAUAACUACACCAUUUAGCAAAUCAGAAAUGUCAGUUUCCUAGUUCUGACUAGUUUGUGAACGCGGUAUCACAGCACAUAACGGAACUGGCUUGAUUGAGACAGCAACGAAAGUCUUGCUUCUGACGUUCUGUUUCCAGACGGACAUAUUUAGCUGUUACUCAACCGAGCAAACGUGUGUUUAUAUUUUCUAUGCUGCUUGAUUUGUUAUGAAUAGUGUACUAGUAAACCGCUACUGACGAACCUUUACAGAAUAUAGAUAAUGCUCCCCGAUAUGCAAUUGCGUUAAUUUGAGUGGGAUUUUUCAGCAAGUAACGUUAAUCCUGUCAGACAAGCUCGCUAGCUAACGUUAGCUCACUAUUGGGCUAGCAAGCUACGUUAGUUACAAUGAAGAUCAAACGACAAAAGCAAGCCAAAAAAAAAACAUUAAUUUCUACAAACACAACUUCAGUUUUAGAGAGCCCUUUCAAAUUCUGAUCGACGGGACGUUUUGCCAGGCGGCACUGAAGAAUAAGAUCCAGAUCAAAGAACAGAUGCCGAAAUACCUAAUGGGAGAGGUGCAACUUUGUACUACAAAUUGUGCUCUGAAGGAACUUGAAUCAACGAAGGACCUCUAUGGUGCCAAACUCAUCCUGCAGCGGUAUCAGGUUAGGAACUGCAAGCAUUUCAAGAACCCCGUCUCUGUGUCUGUUGUCACUGCUGGAAGGGACUAAUCCUCACCACUACUUUGUUGUCACACAGGACCAAGAGGUGACAUCAGGCCUGAAGAAGAUACCAGGUGUGCUACUUCUGUAUAUCAUCCUCAACACCAUAGUGUUGGACAAGCCCAGCCUAUGCUCUGUGAACCAUGUGCAGGCUGUGGCUCUGAGAGAGAUGGUCACCCCAGCCCAGCAGCAGAGCAUCAACAACCUGAAGGAGGUGCAGGGGAUUGGGCAGGAUGGAGAGCGCCAGGGCAAGAAGCGUAAGAGGAAAAUCUCCAACCCCAACCCGCUCAGCUGCCUGAAGAAGAAAAAACAGACACAGCUGCUUAAGACUGAGGACAAAAAGAAGAUUCGGCAAAGGUCCAUCCCUAAAACCAACCCCAAACCCCUAGUGGUAGGAAGAGAUGUAUGUUUUGAGGGCAGGAUAUAACCAAUGUUUUCCCUCCCCAAAAGUUGAACUGAAUAUAAGAAAUACAUCUUGAUUUUUUUUUAUUUUAUACAUAAUCUCUAAAAUACAUAGAUAAUCUCUAAACCAAUUUUCUCUAUUUGCCAGUUUAAAGGUAUCCCAAUUCAAUGUCUGGAGAACAUAUUUUGAAGAAGCACACAGCCAUGAUGUCAGCAUGCUUCUAAAAAUGUAUCUUUAAACAGUUCAAUCUUGUUUGUUGAACAUCAGAAGGUAUUGAUCUAAGUCAUUAUAGUAAGUCCAUAGCAAUUACACCCAAUUCACUGGCUCAAUGAACCAGCUAUGAAAAGGAUUCAUUGACAUGAACUGUUGAAACAGUAUUCAUUUUAUUAGAAAAGUAACAAGUUGCUGGGCCUCAGGACUACAGGCAUGGUGUCAUAAUACACUUCAGCAACAGUAUCUACAAGAGGUGUCAUUUUGGGUUUUAUACAAAAAGGAGAAUGCAAGUUUACCGACGCAGAGUUAAAGGGAUGAGCUGAAACAUUACAUGAUAUACAAUUUCAGAAGUUUGUGGGUAUCAAAACAAUGCAUUUGUAGCUAUGAACCAUAAGAUGAGCAAUAUCGUAUUCAAGCUAUCGAAGAAUGACUGUCACAACACCUAAGCAAAUUAAGACUUCCCAGUAGUUAUCAUUUCAUCAAAACUAUCUUUUAGAUUAUUAAUACCAAAUAAAAGUUUCUCUUUGCCAGAGAUUACUUGACAUUGAGCUGCAUCAAAGAGUU
Oncorhynchus kisutch (coho salmon) is the source of this 2073-nucleotide RNA transcript. It is a transcript of the gene named rRNA-processing protein UTP23 homolog, with no coding region annotated. The transcript is spliced from 3 exons. Lineage: Eukaryota; Metazoa; Chordata; Actinopteri; Salmoniformes; Salmonidae. The record is from RefSeq and is a predicted model, not a curated record.